Long non-coding RNA from Cicer arietinum (chickpea), 415 nucleotides. RefSeq lists it as uncharacterized. NCBI's taxonomy places the organism in Eukaryota, Viridiplantae, Streptophyta, Magnoliopsida, Fabales, Fabaceae. The record is from RefSeq and is a predicted model, not a curated record.
GGGAGAGGCAAUAAGUAUUAUUCAUAUGUAGUCACUCUCCCAUUCCCAUAUGAAGAUCACAACGCGAGUGUCAAAGUUCCUCUUCUCUACAUCAGCAAGCACCACCGCGACACACUUCUACAACCAUCUCAGGGAAAUUCAAUGUCAAGGAUUGUAAAGAAGUGGCCUAACAGUCCUAUCUUUGGAUCUUGCACCUCGCAGUUUAGCAAUCUCCGGAUGAUCGGGUUCCAUAUAGAAUCGAGCUCUGUACGCUGCCAAAUGAGCAUAGUAUGCUGGAGGCACUGCAUACGAAACGUACAUUUAUUUUCGGUAACAGGAACUUAUUUGCUCUUAAACCAGCUAAUAGAAAAUCCAUUGAUGCAUACUAUAUAUGAAUCAGUAAAGUUAGUUAAACAAAAGUUUCAAUGUUUAUUUA